GGGAGCGUAGUUCAGAUGGCAAGAACGCGCGGCUGUUAACCGCGAAGUCGCUGGUUCAAGUCCAGCCACUCCCGCCA
Molecule: transfer RNA, 77 nt
Filed under: Caudoviricetes sp.
Lineage: Duplodnaviria; Heunggongvirae; Uroviricota; Caudoviricetes
Description: tRNA-Asn
Rfam family: tRNA
About the family: Transfer RNA (tRNA) molecules are approximately 80 nucleotides in length.
Source: RNAcentral